CCGGAGAAUGUUAUCACGGGAGACACACGGCGGGUGCUAACGUCCGUCGUGAAGAGGGAAACAACCCAGACCGCCAGCUAAGGUCCCAAAGUCAUGGUUAAGUGGGAAACGAUGUGGGAAGGCCCAGACAGCCAGGAUGUUGGCUUAGAAGCAGCCAUCAUUUAAAGAAAGCGUAAUAGCUCACUGGUCGAGUCGGCCUGCGCGGAAGAUGUAACGGGGCUAAACCAUGCACCGAAGCUGCGGCAGCGACGCUUAUGCGUUGUUGGGUAGGGGAGCGUUCUGUAAGCCUGCGAAGGUGUGCUGUGAGGCAUGCUGGAGGUAUCAGAAGUGCGAAUGCUGACAUAAGUAACGAUAAAGCGGGUGAAAAGCCCGCUCGCCGGAAGACCAAGGGUUCCUGUCCAACGUUAAUCGGGGCAGGGUGAGUCGACCCCUAAGGCGAGGCCGAAAGGCGUAGUCGAUGGGAAACAGGUUAAUAUUCCUGUACUUGGUGUUACUGCGAAGGGGGGACGGAGAAGGCUAUGUUGGCCGGGCGACGGUUGUCCCGGUUUAAGCGUGUAGGCUGGUUUUCCAGGCAAAUCCGGAAAAUCAAGGCUGAGGCGUGAUGACGAGGCACUACGGUGCUGAAGCAACAAAUGCCCUGCUUCCAGGAAAAGCCUCUAAGCAUCAGGUAACAUCAAAUCGUACCCCAAACCGACACAGGUGGUCAGGUAGAGAAUACCAAGGCGCUUGAGAGAACUCGGGUGAAGGAACUAGGCAAAAUGGUGCCGUAACUUCGGGAGAAGGCACGCUGAUAUGUAGGUGAAGUCCCUUGCGGAUGGAGCUGAAAUCAGUCGAAGAUACCAGCUGGCUGCAACUGUUUAUUAAAAACACAGCACUGUGCAAACACGAAAGUGGACGUAUACGGUGUGACGCCUGCCCGGUGCCGGAAGGUUAAUUGAUGGGGUCAGCGCAAGCGAAGCUCUUGAUCGAAGCCCCGGUAAACGGCGGCCGUAACUAUAACGGUCCUAAGGUAGCGAAAUUCCUUGUCGGGUAAGUUCCGACCUGCACGAAUGGCGUAAUGAUGGCCAGGCUGUCUCCACCCGAGACUCAGUGAAAUUGAACUCGCUGUGAAGAUGCAGUGUACCCGCGGCAAGACGGAAAGACCCCGUGAACCUUUACUAUAGCUUGACACUGAACAUUGAGCCUUGAUGUGUAGGAUAGGUGGGAGGCUUUGAAGUGUGGACGCCAGUCUGCAUGGAGCCGGCCUUGAAAUACCACCCUUUAAUGUUUGAUGUUCUAACGUGGACCCGUGAUCCGGGUUGCGGACAGUGUCUGGUGGGUAGUUUGACUGGGGCGGUCUCCUCCUAAAGAGUAACGGAGGAGCACGAAGGUUGGCUAAUCCUGGUCGGACAUCAGGAGGUUAGUGCAAUGGCAUAAGCCAGCUUGACUGCGAGCGUGACGGCGCGAGCAGGUGCGAAAGCAGGUCAUAGUGAUCCGGUGGUUCUGAAUGGAAGGGCCAUCGCUCAACGGAUAAAAGGUACUCCGGGGAUAACAGGCUGAUACCGCCCAAGAGUUCAUAUCGACGGCGGUGUUUGGCACCUCGAUGUCGGCUCAUCACAUCCUGGGGCUGAAGUAGGUCCCAAGGGUAUGGCUGUUCGCCAUUUAAAGUGGUACGCGAGCUGGGUUUAGAACGUCGUGAGACAGUUCGGUCCCUAUCUGCCGUG
RNAcentral lists this ribosomal RNA (1703 nucleotides) under Shigella sonnei. Its description in RNAcentral is "partial 23S ribosomal RNA". It matches the Rfam family "Bacterial large subunit ribosomal RNA", at positions 962 to 2649 of the family's 2925-position model. The record is from RNAcentral. Lineage: Bacteria; Pseudomonadati; Pseudomonadota; Gammaproteobacteria; Enterobacterales; Enterobacteriaceae.